This 76-nucleotide transfer RNA is filed under the name Erysipelotrichaceae bacterium. Its description in RNAcentral is "tRNA-Lys". It matches the Rfam family "tRNA". From Rfam's summary of the family: Transfer RNA (tRNA) molecules are approximately 80 nucleotides in length. Their secondary structure includes four short double-helical elements and three loops (D, anti-codon, and T loops). The record is from RNAcentral. Lineage: Bacteria; Bacillati; Bacillota; Erysipelotrichia; Erysipelotrichales; Erysipelotrichaceae.
GUCUCGUUAGCUCAGCUGGCAGAGCAACUGACUCUUAAUCAGUGGGUCGUGGGUUCGAGCCCCUCACGGGACACCA